AGGGUUAAGAAGAGAAUUUCCAGGUGGCGCCAAGUAGUUGAAGGCUACCAUUUGGUAGCCUCGAGAUCUCAUCUCUGCUGUUGCAGAUCUUGUGGUUCUCUUGGCUUCAUCAGAUGGUAGGUCACAUUGGAGUGGUUCGCAGCCCAGAUGACAGGCACUCUCUGACAGCUGACCCCACCAGCAUGAAGCCAGCAUCGCAGUCUGUUAUCCAGAGUGGUCACCAAGGCGGUGCUUUGAGGCUACCAAUAUAGACUAAG
Long non-coding RNA from Oreochromis niloticus (Nile tilapia), 257 nucleotides. RefSeq lists it as uncharacterized. The transcript is spliced from 3 exons. The record is from RefSeq and is a predicted model, not a curated record. Lineage: Eukaryota; Metazoa; Chordata; Actinopteri; Cichliformes; Cichlidae.